GAAUUAUAUUUCUGAGCUUCUAACUCGGGUAAAAGUAUUUAAAUUAUACUUAUAAUUCU
RNAcentral lists this transfer RNA (59 nucleotides) under Teliapsocus conterminus. RNAcentral's name for it is "tRNA-Ser". Lineage: Eukaryota; Metazoa; Arthropoda; Insecta; Psocodea; Amphipsocidae. The record is from RNAcentral.